UUGGGUUCUGGGGGGAGUAUGGUCC
This 25-nucleotide non-coding RNA is filed under the name Drosophila melanogaster (fruit fly). RNAcentral also lists the same sequence under 1 other name. The record is from RNAcentral. Lineage: Eukaryota; Metazoa; Arthropoda; Insecta; Diptera; Drosophilidae.